UCACAAUUAAAGUGCUUUUAGCAUGACCUCCAGGUUAUUCAUUUACAGAUCUUGAGAUCAUUUUGAGACAAAAUUCAGUUGAAUAGCAAAAGUGUAAAUACAUGUACAUGUUUGUUUAUCAAAAAGCAUUAAAAAUAUAAAUAUAUAAAAAAGAAGAUGUGGUAUGAUUGCCAAUGAGACAACUAUCCACAAAAGACCAAAAUGACACAAACAUCAACAACUAUAGGUCACCGUACGGCCUUCAACAAUGAGCAUUGAGCCCAUACCGCAUAGUCAGCUGUAAAAGGCCCCGAUAAGACAAUGUAAAACAAUUCAAACGAGAAAACUAACGGCCUUAUUUAUGUGAAAAAAUGAACGAAAAACAAAUAACACAUAAACAAACGACAACCACUGAUAUACUCACUUUUGCUGUGCUGCGACUCCCCAAAAGUAUAAAGAAUUGAAACCAACUUUGGGACGUACAUGUACAUCUAUACAGAGGGACAAGGGUAAAACGUAUUGCCCCCUCCGCUAUGGCAGAG
RNAcentral lists this long non-coding RNA (521 nucleotides) under Mytilus galloprovincialis (Mediterranean mussel). Lineage: Eukaryota; Metazoa; Mollusca; Bivalvia; Mytilida; Mytilidae. The record is from RNAcentral.